This 334-nucleotide unclassified non-coding RNA is filed under the name uncultured Corollospora. RNAcentral describes it as "sequence contains ITS1". The stretch from base 1 to 106 matches the Rfam family "5.8S ribosomal RNA", at positions 50 to 154 of the family's 154-position model. Lineage: Eukaryota; Fungi; Ascomycota; Sordariomycetes; Microascales; Halosphaeriaceae. The record is from RNAcentral.
GAAAUGCGAUAAGUAAUGCGAAUUGCAGAUUUCAGUGAAUCAUCGAAUCUUUGAACGCACAUUGCACCCGGCGGCCAUUCCGCCGGGUCUGCCUGUCCGAGCGUCGUUUCGCCCCUCGGGUCCCCCUGGGAACCCGGUGUUGGGGAUCUGCAGCGCAAGCUGCAGGCCCUGAAAUACAGUGGCGGGCCCUGCUGGAAGUCCCCUGCGCAGUAGAACACACUCGCACCGGGCGCCGGCAGGAUCCUGGCCGUCAACCGGUCGGCGCGCCUCCGGGGGCGCCGCCCACCACAGAACAGUCGACCUCGGAUCAGGUAGGGUUACCCGCUGAACUUAA